UCCGGACUGGGGCAGCUGCUCCCGGAGGUUCUGUGUCUUUAAGGCCGGGUAUUGACGGCUCUCAGUCGGCUGCGGCGCCUGCUCAGUGCUGCUGCCGCUGGACGUGGAGCUGCUCCGUCCUGAACAUCUGCUGCAGUCGGUGUGUGUCUCGGAGUGUGUUUGCGUCUGAAUAUGGAUUGACGGAGGGAGGCUUUUGUUGUUGUCAGCCCGGUGGUCCUUUCUGCUGGAGCUGCACUUUCACCGGAGAAUGCCCAUAAGAACCGGAACUGUGCUGCUGCACGGAUAGCGCAGGAAUUACACCGGAGAAACACGAUAUUGACAUGAAGAAAGACAUUGAGACUCUAAUAGCAGAGGAACGGGCUGAUAUCAUCUUGAAAUAUGCUACGGGCAGGCAGGGCGGCGGUGGAGAUC
Molecule: long non-coding RNA, 411 nt
Organism: Acanthochromis polyacanthus (spiny chromis)
Lineage: Eukaryota; Metazoa; Chordata; Actinopteri; Pomacentridae
Exons: 3
Source: RefSeq, a predicted model, not a curated record